GUUGUUGCGGUUAAAAGCUCGUAGUUGGAUUUUGGGCGCAGGCGGCCGGUCCGUCGCAAGGCGUGUACUGGCCGUCCUGGCCUCACCUCCGGUUCUCCGCCGGUGCCCUUGACUGAGUGUCGGCGGCGGCCGGAACGUUUACUUUGAAAAAAUUAGAGUGUUCAAAGCAGGCGAUUCGCCUGAAUAAUGGUGCAUGGAAUAAUGGAAUAGGACCUCGGUUCUAUUUUGUUGGUUUUCGGAGCGCGAGGUAAUGAUUAAGAGGGACAGACGGGGGCAUUCGUACUGUGCCGUUAGAGGUGAAAUUCUUGGAUCGGCGCAAGACGAACGACUGCGAAAGCAUUUGCCAAGAAUGUUUUCUUUAAUCAAGAGCGAAAGUCAGAGGUUCGAAGACGAUCAGAUACCGUCCUAGUUCUGACUAUAAACGAUGCCAACUAGCGAUCGGGGGGCGUUAGUUUUACGACCUCUCCGGCAGCUUGCGGGAAACCAAAGUCUUUGGGUUCCGGGGGAAGUAUGGUUGCAAAGCUGAAACUUAAAGGAAUUGACGGAAGGGCACCACCAGGAGUGGAGCCUGCGGCUUAAUUUGACUCAACACGGGAAAUCUCACCCGGCCCGGACACAGUGAGGAUUGACAGAUUGAGAGCUCUUUCUUGAUUCUGUGGGUGGUGGUGCAUGGCCGUUCUUAGUUGGUGGAGCGAUUUGUCUGGUUAAUUCCGAUAACGAACGAGACUCUGGCUUGCUAACUAGUUACGCGACCCAAUCGGUCGGCGUCUAACUUCUUAGAGGGACUAGUGGCGUUUAGCCACACGAGAUUGAGCAAUAACAGGUCUGUGAUGCCCUUAGAUGUUCGGGGCCGCACGCGCGCUACACUGACCGGAUCAGCAUGUGCUCGCCUUGGCCGACAGGUCUGGGUAACCCGCUGAACCCCGGUCGUGCUAGGGAUAGGGAAUUGCAAUUAUUUCCCUUGAACGAGGAAUUCCCAGUAAGCGCGAGUCAUUA
This 996-nucleotide ribosomal RNA is filed under the name Ascidiella aspersa. RNAcentral's name for it is "SSU rRNA". It matches the Rfam family "Eukaryotic small subunit ribosomal RNA", at positions 609 to 1633 of the family's 1831-position model. Lineage: Eukaryota; Metazoa; Chordata; Ascidiacea; Phlebobranchia; Ascidiidae. The record is from RNAcentral.